AUACGGAGGGGGUUAGCGUUGUUCGGAAUUACUGGGCGUAAAGCGCACGUAGGCGGACUGGAAAGUUGGGGGUGAAAUCCCGGGGCUCAACCCCGGAACUGCCUCCAAAACUUCCAAUCUAGAGAUCAAGAGAGGUGAGUGGAAUUCCAAGUGUAGAGGUGAAAUUCGUAGAUAUUUGGAGGAACACCAGUGGCGAAGGCGGCUCACUGGCUCGAUACUGACGCUGAGGUGCGAAAGCGUGGGGAGCAAACAGGAUUAGAUACCCCAGUAGUCC
RNAcentral lists this ribosomal RNA (274 nucleotides) under uncultured bacterium. RNAcentral's name for it is "partial 16S ribosomal RNA". It matches the Rfam family "Bacterial small subunit ribosomal RNA", at positions 523 to 796 of the family's 1533-position model. The record is from RNAcentral.